Paramuricea clavata is the source of this 231-nucleotide non-coding RNA. NCBI's taxonomy places the organism in Eukaryota, Metazoa, Cnidaria, Anthozoa, Malacalcyonacea, Plexauridae. The record is from the annotation of a GenBank genome assembly.
CUCAACUGUUUUAGGGUAAAAUGACCAUGGCGGUCAAUAUGGCAUAUGUGCCAAAACCUGAAUCCGGGAUGAAAGUCCUGAAAAUGACCCCGCCCUGAAACGGCAGUUCUGACAUAGCUCUAACUUCCGAAAAGCAAAAGCGAGCCGACAGCCUUUCUGAAGUGCUUAUAGUGUUUAGAAGGGUUGCUUUUAGGGGUGAUUAUUCAGUGGAAGGAAAAAUUUGUCUAAGGG